Molecule: ribosomal RNA, 487 nt
Filed under: uncultured bacterium
Lineage: Bacteria
Description: bacterial SSU rRNA
Rfam family: Bacterial small subunit ribosomal RNA
Source: RNAcentral
GACGACGCUGGCGGCGUGGAUUAGGCAUGCAAGUCGAACGGUAGGAUACCUUCGGGUAUCUGAGAGUGGCGAACGGGUGAGUAACACGUAGGUGAUCUACCCUCAAGAUUGGGACAACCCAGGGAAACUUGGGCUAAUACCGGAUGAAAGCAGCAGUGAUGUUGUUUGAAAGGUGGCGUAAGCUGCCGUUUGGGGAUGAGCCUGCGCUCUAUUAGUUAGUUGGCGGGGUAAAGGCCCACCAAGGCGAUGAUAGAUAGGCGGCCUUAACGGGUGGUCGCCCACACUGGGAUUGAGAUACGGCCCAGACUCCUACGGGAGGCAGCAGUCGAGAAUAGUCUACAAUGGUCGGAAGACUGAUAGUGCGACGCCGCGUGAACGAUGAAUCCCUUCGGGGUGUAAAGUUCUUUUAUAUGUGAGCAGUGCUUCUUAUAUUAACAGUAUGGGGAGAGAGAUAUUAGCAUAUGAAUAAGCAACGGCUAACUCCGUG